Non-coding RNA from Acanthosepion pharaonis, 80 nucleotides. The record is from the annotation of a GenBank genome assembly. NCBI's taxonomy places the organism in Eukaryota, Metazoa, Mollusca, Cephalopoda, Sepiida, Sepiidae.
CUAGAUCACCGAAGUUAAGCAACGUCGAGCCUGGUCAGUACCUUGAUGGGUGACCGCCUGGGCAUACCAUGUGCUGUAAG